GUGGUUUGUCGCGUUGUUCGUGAAAUCUCACGGCUUAACUGUGAGCGUGCGGGCGAUACGGGCAGACUUGAGUACUGCAGGGGAGACUGGAAUUCCUGGUGUAGCGGUGGAAUGCGCAGAUAUCAGGAGGAACACCGGUGGCGAAGGCGGGUCUCUGGGCAGUAACUGACGCUGAGGAGCGAAAGCGUGGGGAGCGAACAGGAUUAGAUACCCUGGUAGUCCACGCCGUAAACGGUGGGUACUAGGUGUGGGUUUCCUUCCUUGGGAUCCGUGCCGUAGCUAACGCAUUAAGUACCCCGCCUGGGGAGUACGGCCGCAAGGCUAAAACUCAAAGAAAUUGACGGGGGCCCGCACAAGCGGCGGAGCAUGUGGAUUAAUUCGAUGCAACGCGAAGAACCUUACCUGGGUUUGACAUGCACAGGACGCCGGCAGAGAUGUCGGUUCCCUUGUGGCCUGUGUGCAGGUGGUGCAUGGCUGUCGUCAGCUCGUGUCGUGAGAUGUUGGGUUAAGUCCCGCAACGAGCGCAACCCUUGUCUCAUGUUGCCAGCGGGUAAUGCCGGGGACUCGUGAGAGACUGCCGGGGUCAACUCGGAGGAAGGUGGGGAUGACGUCAAGUCAUCGUGCCCCUUAUGUCCAGGGCUUCACACAUGCUACAAUGGCCGGUACAAAGGGCUGCGAUGCCGCGAGGUUAAGCGAAUCCUUUUAAAGCCGGUCUCAGUUCGGAUCGGGGUCUGCAACUCGACCCCGUGAAGUCGGAGUCGCUAGUAAUCGCAGAUCAGCAACGCUGCGG
RNAcentral lists this ribosomal RNA (790 nucleotides) under uncultured Mycobacterium sp. RNAcentral's name for it is "bacterial SSU rRNA". It matches the Rfam family "Bacterial small subunit ribosomal RNA", at positions 575 to 1362 of the family's 1533-position model. The record is from RNAcentral. Lineage: Bacteria; Bacillati; Actinomycetota; Actinomycetes; Mycobacteriales; Mycobacteriaceae.